RNAcentral lists this long non-coding RNA (1394 nucleotides) under Oncorhynchus kisutch (coho salmon). RNAcentral's name for it is "lncRNA (ENSOKIG00005008559.1)". Lineage: Eukaryota; Metazoa; Chordata; Actinopteri; Salmoniformes; Salmonidae. The record is from RNAcentral.
CACGUUGGUUGAAUGUAAGUUCAUUGACCUUCCUGAUCCAGUGUUACGGCCCCGCUCCACUAAAUUAACUGAUGAGUGACCACUCUAUUUUCGUCAGCUCACUUCAAACCCCUGCCCCUCCCCUGUCAGCCCUUUUUGAGGCCCUUGUUUGGAAAAAAAGAGUGCCCCGUCUUAAUUAGACAGGCUCUGUUAUGACUUAGUACUGGUAUGUUUUGUACUUUGCCUAUUUGGGAGAAUGUCACUGGUUUUUAUGGAAAUGAGGACAUUUAUUUAUGGGAGGAUGAUCUGUAAGAGUAUUACGGAUUACAAAGGGAAACACAGACGCCGAGCUACCCAGUGAUGCGAGACUAACAGAUGAGCUAAAUGCCUUUUAUGCUCGCUUCGAGGCAAGCGAUACUGAAGCAUGCACGAGAGCACCAGCUGUUAUGGACUGUGUGAUAACGCUCUCGGUAGCCAAUGUGAACAAAACCAUUAAACAGGUCAACAUUCACAAAGCCCCUGGGCCAGACGGAUUACCAGGACGUGUACUCAAAGCAUGCGUGGACCAACUGUCAAGUGUCUCCCUGACCGAGUCUGUAAUACCAACAUGUGUCAAGCAGACCACCAUAGUCCCUGUGCCCAAGGAAGCGAAGGUAACCGGCCUAAAUGAUUACCGCCCCGUGGCACUUGCGUCAGUAGCCAUGAAGUGCUUUGAAAGGCUGGUCAUGGCUCACAUCAGCAGCAUUCUGCUGGAUACCCUAGACCCACUCCAAUUCGCAUACCGCCCCAACAGAUCCACAGAUGACGCAAUCUCAAUCACACUCCACACUGCCCUUUCUCAACUGGACAAAAGGAACACCUAUUUCAGAAUGCUGUUAAUUGGCUACAGCUCAGCGUUCAACACCAUAGUGCCCACAAUGCUCAUCACUAAGCUAAGGACUCUGGGACUAAACACCUCCCUCUGCAACUGGAUCCUGGACUUCCUGAUGGGCCUCCCCCAGUCUACCACACUGAUCCUUAACACUGGGGCCCCUCAAGGGUGUGUACUUAGUCCCCUCCUGUAUUCCCUAUCCACCCAUGACUGCGUGGCCAAACACAACUCCAACACGAUCAUUCAGUUUGCUGGCAACACAUCAGCGGUAGGCCUGAUCACCGACAACGUUGAGACGGCCUAUAGGGAGGUGGUCAGAGAAAUGGCAGUGUGCUGCCAGGACAACAACCUCUCCCUCAAUAUGAGCAAGACAAAGGAGCUGAUCGUGAACUACAGGAAAAGGCAGGCCGAACAGGCCCUCGUUAACAUCGACAGGGCUGUAGUGGAGCGGGUCGAGAGUUUCAAGUUCCUUGGUGUCCACAUCACCAACAAACUAUCAUGGUCCAAACAUACCAAGACAGUUGGGAAGAGGGCACAACAAAAC